RNAcentral lists this ribosomal RNA (422 nucleotides) under uncultured bacterium. RNAcentral describes it as "bacterial SSU rRNA". It matches the Rfam family "Bacterial small subunit ribosomal RNA", at positions 355 to 774 of the family's 1533-position model. The record is from RNAcentral.
UAAGGAAUAUUGGACAAUGGAGGCAACUCUGAUCCAGCCAUGCCGCGUGAAGGAAUAAGGCCCUAUGGGUUGUAAACUUCUUUUAGACGGGACAAAACCCCUUUACGUGUAAAGGGUUGAUGGUACUGUCAGAAUAAGCAUCGGCUAACUUCGUGCCAGCAGCCGCGGUAAUACGAAGGAUGCAAGCGUUAUCCGGAAUUAUUGGGUUUAAAGGGUGCGUAGGCGGACUAAUAAGUCAGUGGUGAAAGCCCGCAGCUUAACUGCAGAAUUGCCAUUGAUACUGUUAGUCUUGAGUACAGUUGAGGUCGGCGGAAUGUGCCAUGUAGCGGUGAAAUGCUUAGAUAUGACACAGAACACCGAUUGCGAAGGCAGCUUGCUAAGCUGUAACUGACGCUGAGGCACGAAAGCGUGGGGAGCAAACA